AGAGAACCGUGUAUGCAUUUUUGAAAAGAAUUUCAGUUCAUUCCUUCUUUUCCUCCACGAGAGCCUUCAAGUUUCUCACCGUAACCUCGUCGUCACCGUUUCUCACCGUAACCUCGUCGUCGUUUCUCACCGUAACCUCGUCGUCGUUUCUCACCGUAACCUCGUCGUCGUCGUCGUUUCUCACCGUAACCUUGUCACCGUUUCUAUGAUCUUCUCAUUCUCUAAUCGUCACCGUUUAUCACAAACCCUUCGCCAUUACCGUUUCUCAUCGUCGUCACUGUUUCUCACAAUCUCUUCACCGUCACCGUUUCUCAUCGUCGUCACCGUUUCUCAGAACCCUCUAAUCUUCUUUCACGAACCCUUCAAAGUUCAAACCCUUUCCCGUUUAGAAAUUUGAAUGUCACCGAAACCCUAACUUUCUCAUUAGUCCCUUUUCCCCCAAAUUGCACGAGCACUGAAUCUCACAUCUUGUUCAAUUAAUCUAUGAAGGGAGCUAUCAUUUGCACUUCCAUAAGAAAGACCCUCAUUUUACCAACUGUGUGAGGGUUCUAUUUAUUCCUUCGAUUUUAUGAGUGUUGCUUCUGCUAGAGAGGUUGUUACAGGACUGCCAAGUACAAUUGUGAACUUAAUUUUCAGUUUGCAACUAAGGCAAGAGGAAAUUAGGAGGAAGAGGCAUAGUAAGCUGUUAGCAAGACUUAUGUCCCAUGUACGACGGUUCCGUCACUCCUGCACGAAGGCUCUGUUGUUCCUGCACGAUUGCUACUUCCCCGUAUGAUUUGUCAUUGAUGGAAACAAAAUUGAAAAGUGGAAUAACACUCUCAUUGUUGACCGUUAUUCUUAUUCUGGGUGGCCUUCUCAUCUGCUAAGGGACAAAUUUCCAGGAAGUCUUAUUCUAGCUCAGUCUAGAAUUCACAUAAUUUCUUAUGUUCUCUUUCUGUUAGUAAAUGGUGGAUUGCUUGCUCCAGAUCUUCUAUGUGGCCAAUAAAUAGUGGUUUCUUGCGUUAGGUUGAGACAUGAUUUCAAUGUUGCUUAUUUUUAUGCCGGAAAAGAAAGCUAUAGAAAGAUGAGGGUUUAUUGAUGAAAGAUAUGAAAAGCUUGAGUUUCAGAAGAAAGUUACCGAACAUUACAAGAUCCUUCAGAAUGCCUCCUGGAAGGUAAUGAACUGUUUUUCUGGCCUCAAGAACAUUACAAAGACCCAUUUCUUCAUUUAUUAUUUAUUCAAGAACAUUCAAUCUUCAGCUUGAAAAAGAGGUACAAUUUUACCCACUUUUCUCGUUCUUGAUCAUUGAAGAACAAAAAGAACCUUAAUUGUGCAAAAAAUGUCAUGUCCCAAGAUCAUGUUUGGUACCAAUAUUUUAAAACAACAGUUUUUGGAAUUUUCAUUCCAACAUAUUUGCCCUAUCUAGUUUAUAAUCAAUACUUGUUGGGAACGAUGAUGGGCUUCGAUAAAACUUUUAAUCUUAUGUUUCGAUAAAAAGUGAUUCGAUGUCUUGAUGCCCAAAACAUACUGGAUAAAUUACUUAAUGACCCUGGUCCCUGAAUGUGAAAGCUAGUGGUUGCCUUAAUUGCUACUGAAGCAAUUGUCUAUAUCGGUGUCCGCUUUUCUAUUAAAAAAAUAUGAAUUUUUAUUCAUAAUAAUGCAUGCAUGGGUAUAUAGUUUGCUUUGAUGACCCUUAGUCCCUAACUUCAAUUCUACAACUGCAAUUAGAAGUGAUUUUGCAUUAUGAACAUAAUGACCCUUGUCCCAAAUGUUUCAUAAGUUUUGUAAGGGAUGGAUGCCUCAAUGACCUUUGAGAAAAAUGCAUUAUGAAUUCUUUAUUCAUAAUGAAAAAGUUGGAUGGUGGCUUUCAAAGGAAAGAAAUUUAAUAUGAAAAUUUUAUUCAAAACGUGAUGGUGUCUAUUGCCUUUUUAUGACCCUAAUUGUGAAAUUGUCACUAGUGGUAUUGUAUAUAAAGUUGGAUAUACUUUGUUCCAUGAUUUUUAUAAGGAAUUGUCUUGGUGGCCCAAAAAUGCUGGAUGAUGCCAUAUUGUGAAAGCAUUGUUGCCUUAAAUGCAAUUUUAAUGUAAAAUUUCAUUCAUAUUAUAAUGCAAGGAUAAUAUCUAUUGUGCUUUGAUGACCUUACUGAUAAGGGUUUCAAAGGAAUUCUCUUGAACAAAGUACAAAGAAACCAACUCUUUGGAGUAUAAACUAUUACUUAUAAUAUCGACUUGGUAUGUCUGGCAUUAUGCAGACAACCUAUGGCAUAUAAGGAUGCUUGCAUUGUGAUCAAUGGAGGAAACCAUAAUGAGGUUGUAUCUGAAAAAAUUCAGUAGGUGUUGGCAUAAUAGUACUAGAUGUAUGUGUUAUCAUUCUUGAUCAUUCAAUAAGAUUCAAUCUUUUGCUUGAUAAAUACAAAAGCUUUUGUUGCUGAGCAUAGCAGUGUUUAGGUUCAGCAUGCUAAUAAGGUGGUUAAUUGCCAAGGUUCAACAGUGAUUUGGAAAUCGAAAUCUCAUGGAACUGUUCUUGGAGGACUGUAACUGAAGUUGAAAUCAUGUUGUUGGGUGGUAAAGGGAAGGUUCAUCAUUCAGAUGCGGCUUCAUGCACGAAUCAGAACAACCUUUUGAAAAUGAAAAGUCAGAUCAACAGUGGUGUCCAGGUUCAACAUGCUAAUAAGGUGGUAAAUUCCCAAAGGUUCAACGGUGAAAUCGAAAUCUCAUGGAACUAUUAGCGGAGGACUGUAACUGAAGUUGAAAGCAUGCUGGUGAGCAAAGGGAUUGUUGAUGGUUCAGAUUCAGGUGUUAGUUUUGAUGUGGCUUCAUCCACGAAUCAGAGCAACUUUGAAAAUGAAGAGUCAGAUCCAGAGCAUCACAGUAUUUUUCUUUGCAAAAGAAGGUAACGGUUGUGUCCUUAACUCGACUAGGGAAAAUAUUUUUGCACCUGUUACUAUCAAUUUCCAGCAUGUUCUAGUUGAUGAUCAUAUCAAGGUAAAAUUUUCUCUCCUCAUUCUUUGCUACAAAAUAGAAGGUAUGGAGGCACAUGGCCUUUUACUGGUUUUGGGCUUUGGCACUACUUAUGCUAUUAUAAUUGCUUUUAUUAAUGAAUUUUCACUUACCAAAAAAAUAAUCUUGAUGCUGGAAUGUUUCAACUGGUGGUUUCAAUGAAUAAUCACGACUAUUCAGGGCUUUGCUCCUUUGAUUGUAUUGAUAAUAUCUUAGGUACAUGAUCACAAUAUUUGAGACUAUCUUUCCUUCAGAGGACAUCUAUCUAUGUUUUACUUUUUGACUUUUGAGAUCAUGCAUUGCAAAACUAGUGUGUGUGUAUUUCACUCAGUCAUUACGGGCCUUGCAUACACUCUCUUCUUAUUUGAUGACAUUCACUAGGAAGUUAUUGCUUUUACUCCCUCUUCCUAACAAAUGUUUA
Molecule: long non-coding RNA, 3400 nt
Organism: Trifolium pratense (red clover)
Lineage: Eukaryota; Viridiplantae; Streptophyta; Magnoliopsida; Fabales; Fabaceae
Exons: 7
Source: RefSeq, a predicted model, not a curated record